AGUGAUGUGUCUGAUUUAAGUAAUAAAUUGUAAAUUUAUUUAAGAAUUUAAUUAUUCUAUUACUA
This 65-nucleotide transfer RNA is filed under the name Trybliographa sp. ZJUH 20220008. RNAcentral's name for it is "tRNA-Tyr". Lineage: Eukaryota; Metazoa; Arthropoda; Insecta; Hymenoptera; Figitidae. The record is from RNAcentral.